This 459-nucleotide ribosomal RNA is filed under the name uncultured bacterium. Its description in RNAcentral is "partial 16S ribosomal RNA". It matches the Rfam family "Bacterial small subunit ribosomal RNA", at positions 338 to 795 of the family's 1533-position model. The record is from RNAcentral.
CCUACGGGGGGCAGCAGUGAGGAAUAUUGGUCCAUGGGCGGGAGCCUGAACCAGCCAAGUCGCGUGAGGGGUGACGGCCCUAUGGGUUGUACACCUCUUUUGCCGGGGAGCCAAGUGCCGCACGUGUGCGGUUUUGAGAGUACCCGGUGAAAAAGCAUCGGCUAACUCCGUGCCAGCAGCCGCGGUAAGACGGAGGAUGCGAGCGUUAUCCGGAUUUAUUGGGUUUAAAGGGUGCGUAGGCGGACGCCUAAGUCAGCGGUAAAAUUGCGGAGCUCAACCUCGUCGAGCCGUUGACACUGGGUGCCUUGAGUGGGCGAGAAGUACGCGGAAUGCGGGGUGUAGCGGUGAAAUGCAUAGAUAUCACGCAGAACUCCGAUUGCGAAGGCAGCGUACCGGCGCCCAACUGACGCUGAAGCACGAAGGCGUGGGUAUCGAACAGGAUUAGAUACCCGGGUAGUC